This 433-nucleotide ribosomal RNA is filed under the name uncultured bacterium. Its description in RNAcentral is "partial 16S ribosomal RNA". It matches the Rfam family "Bacterial small subunit ribosomal RNA", at positions 29 to 507 of the family's 1533-position model. The record is from RNAcentral.
AACGAACGCUGGCGGCAUGCCUAACACAUGCAAGUCGAACGAGACCUUCGGGUCUAGUGGCGCACGGGUGCGUAACGCGUGGGAACCUGCCCUUAGGUUCGGAAUAACUCCCCGAAAGGGGUGCUAAUACCGGAUAAUGUCUUCGGACCAAAGAUUUAUCGCCUUUGGAUGGGCCCGCGUUGGAUUAGCUAGUUGGUAGGGUAAAAGCCUACCACGGCGAGGAUCCAUAGCUGGUCUGAGAGGAUGAUCAGCCACACUGGGACUGAGAAACGGCCCGGACUCCUACGGGAGGCAGCAGAGGGGAAUAUUGGAAAGUGGGCGAAGGCCUGAACCAGCAAUGCCGCGUGAGUGAUGAAGGCCGUAGGGUAGUAAAGCUCUUUUACCCGGGAUGAUAAUGACAGUACCGGAAGAAUAAGCCCCGGCUAACUCCGUG